CCCCUAGUAACGGCGAGUGAACGGGGAAAAGCCCAACACCGAAUCCCUCAGCGCAAGUUGACGGGAAAUGUGGUGUUAAGGUGGCCCUUCGUGCUGAAUCAGGUGUCUUAAGUCCACCUGAUUGUGGCUCAAGCCCAGAGAGGGUGUAAGGCCCGUAGAGGCACUUGAUUCAGUACCCGGGGUUUACCUACGAGUCGGCUUGUUUGGGAAUGCAGGCCAAAGCGGGUGGUAAACUCCAUCCAAGGCUAAAUACUGGCACGAGUCCGAUAGCGGACAAGUACCGUGAGGGAAAGUUGAAAAGAACUUUGAAGAGAGAGUUCAAUAGUACGUGAAACCGCUUAGAGGCAAACGGAUGGUGCUCAAAUUGGUGCAGGGGAUUCAGCUGUUGUAAUUUGUCGAGUGUGUGGUCGUGUAUAGAUCCUAUAAUCUGGGACUAGCGGCUGCUAUUCAUGUUGGCUAUUACACGGUGCACUUUCCCUGUUUUCACCUUCGCCACGACCGACGAAACUGGCCACCCACGGCUGGGGUAAGGUGGCAAGCUACUUCGGUAGUUUGUUUUAUAGACCCUGGCGUUGGAUAUUGUUUGGGCAGGACGUCGGAGUUCUAGCGGUGUCCGCUCGCACUCUGCGGGCUCGUAUGUCAGCUAGCUUGGCUGCGCCGAUGCCAGUACUGGUAACCAGUACUGGUGUUGGUUGUGGUCUUGUCUUCUAAUUGGCCUCUACGAGUUUGACACCUAUAGUCUGUGGUGUACUAGUGGGUAGACUAUCCGACCCGUCUUGAAACACGGACCAAGGAGUCUAACAUGUGCGCGAGUCAUGGGGACUCUACGAAACCCAAAGGCGUAGUGAAAGUAAAGGCUUGCUUCUCGCAGGCUUAGGUGAGAUCUCGUGCAUUAUGAUUGGCGAGCGCAUCACCGGCCCGUCCUAUCUGUCUCUGUCAGUGGGGCGGCGCAAGAGCGUACACGUUGGGACCCGAAAGAUGGUGAACUAUGCUUGCGCAGCUCGAAGUCAGUGGAAACACUGAUGGAGGAGCGCAGCGUUUCUGACGUGCAAAUCGAUCGUCAAACGUGAGUAUAGGGGCGAAAGACUAAUCG
RNAcentral lists this ribosomal RNA (1093 nucleotides) under Macrostomum gabriellae. Its description in RNAcentral is "partial large subunit ribosomal RNA". It matches the Rfam family "Eukaryotic large subunit ribosomal RNA", at positions 77 to 937 of the family's 3401-position model. Lineage: Eukaryota; Metazoa; Platyhelminthes; Macrostomidae. The record is from RNAcentral.